AGAGUUUGAUCCUGGCUCAGAUUGAACGCUGGCGGCAUGCUUUACACAUGCAAGUCGAACGGCAGCACGAGUGCUUGCACUUGGUGGCGAGUGGCGAACGGGUGAGUAAUACAUCGGAACGUGUCCUAAAGUGGGGGAUAACGCAUCGAAAGAUGUGCUAAUACCGCAUAAUCUCUCAGGAGGAAAGCAGGGGAUCGAAAGACCUUGCGCUUUUGGAGCGGCCGAUGUCUGAUUAGCUAGUUGGUAGGGUAAUGGCUUACCAAGGCGACGAUCAGUAGUUGGUCUGAGAGGAUGGCCAACCACACUGGGACUGAGACACGGCCCAGACUCCUACGGGAGGCAGCAGUGGGGAAUUUUGGACAAUGGGGGAAACCCUGAUCCAGCAAUGCCGCGUGAGUGAAGAAGGCCUUCGGGUUGUAAAGCUCUUUCAGUUGAGAAGAAAAAGUUGUGACUAAUAAUCAUAAUUCAUGACGGUAUCGACAGAAGAAGCACCGGCUAACUACGUGCCAGCAGCCGCGGUAAUACGUAGGGUGCGAGCGUUAAUCGGAAUUACUGGGCGUAAAGGGUGCGCAGGCGGUUAUGUAAGUCAGAUGUGAAAUCCCCGGGC
This 607-nucleotide ribosomal RNA is filed under the name uncultured bacterium. Its description in RNAcentral is "bacterial SSU rRNA". It matches the Rfam family "Bacterial small subunit ribosomal RNA", at positions 8 to 608 of the family's 1533-position model. The record is from RNAcentral.